Molecule: microRNA precursor, 87 nt
Filed under: Callithrix jacchus (white-tufted-ear marmoset)
Lineage: Eukaryota; Metazoa; Chordata; Mammalia; Primates; Cebidae
Also listed under: 39 other names
Description: microRNA 124-3 (ENSCJAG00000045768.2)
Rfam family: mir-124 microRNA precursor family (bases 8-79)
About the family: The mature ~21nt miRNAs are processed from hairpin precursor sequences represented here, in this case originating from the 3' arm. The bounds of the precursors are predicted based on conservation and base pairing and are not generally known.
Source: RNAcentral
UGAGGGCCCCUCUGCGUGUUCACAGCGGACCUUGAUUUAAUGUCUAUACAAUUAAGGCACGCGGUGAAUGCCAAGAGAGGCGCCUCC